GGCAGAUGCGAUGCAGUUGGCCGCAAUGGCGAUAUAGAAUGGUGAGGCAGCGGCAUAACGCGCAUAAUAACGCGCGCUCGAGGCCUUCGUAAAAUGAGAUACGACGGUGAGGCAACGAAGCGUAGGAAGGAGGCAGCAGGGAAUCGGGAGAAAGAGAGACAGACAGGAACGGAUAGAGGGCGGGGAGGGUGCCUAUCACUCGGAGAGAUCCAAUACAAUGCGAACUAUUGUACCCACGUUCGCCAUCCACUCCAAUUCCUAGGCUGGAGAUAUGCAGCUAGCUCGAUCCUGCACUUGCCGCGCGCCCUCUCUACAUGUGUUGGAACGUUACACACAUACCCGACCCUCUCUAAGUCUAUGUCGCCACUUCCGUAAGGAUACGAACGAGUUCAAUAUGGAACGAAUGAACAGAUUACAUUGACAUUGUACCUCUGGCAAAUGACGUGUUUCGUUCAAAUUCAAGUUCUUCCAUUCUUCGCCAGAAAUUGUUCGUUUCAAAAAUCUAGAGAGAAUUGAGAACAUCGAGAUAAAGAAUCGAACGGACCUUAACGUCUCUCUCGUAAGAUAAAUCCAUGGUAUGCGCAAUACUGGAAUUGAAGUAGCCUUAAAAUUAUAUAGCGCAAAGACACGGGUAUACGAUACGAUUCCCUUCAUCGAUAACACGAUCGAAUCGAUAAUCAGGAAACGAAUUAACAUCAAUUAGAACGAACUUUACAAGUUUAACCGAAUCGAUAGGAGCCACUCCUUGAGCUGAAGUACAUCAUUCUCUGGCGAACGUACAAAUCGCGCGAUACGACCGUUUUCCAAUCAGUGUAAUCGGUUUAAUCAUUUACGCGGCGCUGUACUACACUCUACUUAAUUCUAUGCGAGUCCUUCAAGUCCAACCAUGGCACGGCGGCUGUCUACCGCCCCUAAUUCAACGUAUAAAUCUCUCUCACCUGUUAUUUAUUAUUUUCAUGAAUAUGCAUUUCUUUCACCGCCUGCUAAUGGACCCCUGAGGCCAUGGCGUGUUAGAAGUGUUGCGCGCAACAGCGUGCAGUUAAACGGAUUUGAUUAAUCGAAAAACUUGAUCGAAUCCCUCUUUCU
Apis dorsata (giant honeybee) is the source of this 1086-nucleotide long non-coding RNA. RefSeq lists it as uncharacterized. The record is from RefSeq and is a predicted model, not a curated record. The transcript has 3 exons. Lineage: Eukaryota; Metazoa; Arthropoda; Insecta; Hymenoptera; Apidae.